RNAcentral lists this ribosomal RNA (250 nucleotides) under uncultured bacterium. Its description in RNAcentral is "partial 16S ribosomal RNA". It matches the Rfam family "Bacterial small subunit ribosomal RNA", at positions 524 to 773 of the family's 1533-position model. The record is from RNAcentral.
GACAGAGGGUGCAAACGUUGUUCGGAAUUACUGGGCGUAAAGCGCGUGUAGGCGGCAGGGCAUGUCGGAUGUGAAAUCCCGUGGCUCAACCACGGAAGUGCACCCGAAACUGCCCAGCUAGAGUCUCGGAGAGGAAGAUGGAAUGCUUGGUGUAGAGGUGAAAUUCGUAGAUAUCAAGCGGAACACCGGUGGCGAAGGCGGUCUUCUGGACGAUGACUGACGCUGAGACGCGAAAGCGUGGGGAGCAAAC